This 699-nucleotide ribosomal RNA is filed under the name Triticum aestivum (bread wheat). RNAcentral's name for it is "partial small subunit ribosomal RNA". The record is from RNAcentral. Lineage: Eukaryota; Viridiplantae; Streptophyta; Magnoliopsida; Poales; Poaceae.
AUGCAAGAUUUAGGAGAGGAUUUGAGAGGGGGAGAGAGUGGGAGAGGGGGCAAAGCUCGGGCUAGGCGCUGUGGGGGGUGGGGUGGGGGGUGGGGUGGGGGAGGGGGGCCAGCCGAGUGCUCGGAGGCGUCACACAGCUGGGGGCGGGCCCAGGGGCUGCCACGGUGGACUCGUGUGUGGCGCCUCCGAGCUGGGCGCUGCACAUCAAAUUUGCCUGCCAACUUCAUCUGCUCACUGAGGCCCACCGACACCCAGGGCCUGCUCCCGGUUUCCCUCCCACUACCACUGAACACACUCUGGACUCUGCUCGCCCGUGUGUUCCGCGACACCAACUCCAACCCGUUCGAGUGCAGCCAGGGCGCCAACCACCCCGAGGAUCUCAACUACCCGUCCAUCUCUGUGGCCUGCCUGCCCCAUUCCGGUAGCACUGCCAUCGUGAAGCGCAGGGUCAUGAAUGUCGGCGGCAGGGCGGCAUCGUACACCGCCAGCAUCACGCAGCCGGCCGGGGUCACGGCCACUGUGAACCCCAGCACGCUGAUCUUUGAUGGUGAGAACGCAGAGGAGGAGAAACACUUCGCGGUGACACUUCAAGUCCACAACGCCGAGGAGGCUGCCGGUUACGUGUUCGGCAGUAUGGAAUGGUCAGAUGGGAACCACCACGUCAGAAGCCCCAUUGUGGACACUACCAAGUGUGUCUAG